This 415-nucleotide long non-coding RNA is filed under the name Heterocephalus glaber (naked mole-rat). RNAcentral describes it as "lncRNA (ENSHGLG00000032494.1)". The record is from RNAcentral. Lineage: Eukaryota; Metazoa; Chordata; Mammalia; Rodentia; Bathyergidae.
CUCAGGUCCCAGAGGCACUACCCAUCUCCAACUCAUCCAAUCAAUAGCCAGUUAGAGCUGAGAAGAAACAGCUCCAAAGCAUUGUGAGGGAACAGCCUUGGGCUAUGGAGAAGUCUUAAGAGAAUUUUCAGCUAUGUAUAGAACCAUUGUCUCCUUACCUGAGCCAGGUGAUACCUUCUGAAGGAGGUGAGCAAGCAGCUAGGGUCAUCUCACAAGCCUGAUAGGAACUGUCAUUAAUGGACCUCAGCAACUUUCCUCACUCCUUCAAGAAUCUGUACCUGUUACUUUUCAAUCAACUACUUGGAGAAAAAAAAAUGAAAGAGAUUUAGCUGAGAAUUGGAUGAGUUCAGCAAUGGAAGCAUGAACAGAUUUUUACUGGAGAAAUUGGUAAGAUCAUCCUUGAUAGGUACUGGAG